Molecule: long non-coding RNA, 241 nt
Organism: Eptesicus fuscus (big brown bat)
Lineage: Eukaryota; Metazoa; Chordata; Mammalia; Chiroptera; Vespertilionidae
Exons: 3
Source: RefSeq, a predicted model, not a curated record
CUGAUGGUGACGCUCAAACCUUAGCGCACAGGGCUGCCAUAAUGAAAUACCACAGACUGCGUGGCUUAAACAGCAGAAAUUAAUUUUCUCACAGUUCUGGAGGCUCAAUGUCCAAGAUUACGCUAUAGCUCUCUACCCUGUGAGGACACAGCAAGAAGACUGCCAUUUAUGAACCAAGAAAGGGCCUCAUCAGACUCUGGAUCUGCAGGCACCUUGAUCUUGGACUUCCCAGCCUCCAGAC